UAUAUUUGCUCCCUGUUUACGAUAAACGUAAUCAAUCGCAUAAAAAUUAUUUAAAUAAUAUUGGAAUG
The submitters of this non-coding RNA (68 nucleotides) gave its source as unclassified sequences. The record is from Rfam.